Molecule: unclassified non-coding RNA, 240 nt
Filed under: fungal sp.
Lineage: Eukaryota; Fungi
Description: partial internal transcribed spacer region
Rfam family: Eukaryotic small subunit ribosomal RNA (bases 1-46)
Source: RNAcentral
AAGUCGUAACAAGGUUUCCGUAGGUGAACCUGCGGAAGGAUCAUUAAAGAUUCGACCUUCGGGUCUAUCUUCUCUUCAGCUGUGCGCUUCGGCUGCACGCUGUUGAAUCUCACACACCUGUGCACACUUCGGUUGCAGUUGGUUAAUUCUGGCUGCUUCCGCUUUUACAUUUAACUACAAAGUCUAGAAUGUCUAAUACUAUAAAAAUAACAACUUUCAACAACGGAUCUCUUGGCUCUC